RNAcentral lists this ribosomal RNA (468 nucleotides) under uncultured bacterium. RNAcentral's name for it is "partial 16S ribosomal RNA". It matches the Rfam family "Bacterial small subunit ribosomal RNA", at positions 38 to 507 of the family's 1533-position model. The record is from RNAcentral.
GAGGAAGGAGGGGGGCGUGCUUAACACAUGCAAGUCGAACGGAAAGGCCCUGCUUUUGUGGGGUGCUCGAGUGGCGAACGGGUGAGUAACACGUGAGUAACCUGCCCUUGACUUUGGGAUAACUUCAGGAAACUGGGGCUAAUACCGGAUAGGAGCUCCUGCUGCAUGGUGGGGGUUGGAAAGUUUCGGCGGUUGGGGAUGGACUCGCGGCUUAUCAGCUUGUUGGUGGGGUAGUGGCUUACCAAGGCUUUGACGGGUAGCCGGCCUGAGAGGGUGACCGGCCACAUUGGGACUGAGAUACGGCCCAGACUCCUACGGGAGGCAGCAGUGGGGAAUAUUGCACAAUGGGCGGAAGCCUGAUGCAGCAACGCCGCGUGCGGGAUGACGGCCUUCGGGUUGUAAACCGCUUUCGCCUGUGACGAAGCGUGAGUGACGGUAAUGGGUAAAGAAGCACCGGCUAACUACGUG